UUUGUUGAUGGAGGGGGAGGACGUUUGUGAAACGCUUCUUUAAGCGUCACCAGUUCCUGCGUUGGGUGCUCGAGGUGCCUGAAGAGAAUUUGACAGAUGGGACCUGGCAUUUCAGGGCAGAACUGUCCGGUCCUCACAUGUCCUUAUGUUAUCCUGGAGGACUAUGACAAGAUCUUUGGAGGACCUGGCAUGGGACUUCACAGCUGAAGUUUGGAUGAAACCUGAUUUUUUAACUAUGUUCUUGCCCAAGGUAAAUGGGGCCAAAUAGCCUCAUGAUUUUCACAUUUGCCCCAGUAUGACUAUUAAUGUCAUUCUUGUUGUGAUCCUCUCUCUCUCUCUCUCUGUGUUACCCCUGGAAGUCUCAGACUGGAUAUGGGUUCAUCUGAUGUCCUACUUGCUCCUAAACUUGCAACACUGAGUGGCUAUCACACUGGCCACUUACCAUGUUUUAUCCUACACUUUGGCCAGAGGCACUGCCAUAUUUUAAAAAAAGAGCUCCAUAGUCUUUUUGUCCAGUCUUUGCCUUUAAUCACAACUUCAGCACUACAGAUUGUAGUUGAAAUUAUUCUACAUCUUUUCUAAAGCACCUUGAAAAGUCUUGGCAAAUAAAGCCUUGCAAAAGCUGAGUUGGUUCAGCAACAGCAUACUAAAGAAAUCAUUCCUAAGACCUGCAGAGUGUGAAGCCCCACAAGUGGGAUCCCUUUAACUCCUUUCAUAAUAGGAUGAAUAAAGGAGCCAGUCCUGAUUUUGCAUACAUUGGUCACUAGAGGGCAGUAUGUGGUUAGAACUGUGUCCAAAAUGCUUUGCGAUUCCUUGUCCAAGGAAUGUGGCAAGACCAUGUUCUUAAAGAAAAAAUAAAUAAAUGCAGCCAGAGGCCUGGCUCUGCAGCGCGUCCUCUAGAGCUGGUGACAGGCAGUGCCAUCCACAAAAACACUUUGAGUCAACUCCCAUUCCUGGAGCCUCAUUCUCAAAUGCCAAUCUCUAGAAGAGGGGAAGACCAGAACAAUAUAGCGGGAAAAUUAGUUUUAUUAGAGGUAAUCUAUGCUCAUAGAGAAACAAAUUCCUUCCAAAGGUGACACCCUUAAAAAGAAAUCCUCUAAAAUAUGUAGGCAUCUAACUCCCAUUGAAAUGACAUUUGAAAUGGAGGAAAACAUGGCCAUGUAUCAAGGUGUAGUCAAUAUCAGUAAGUGACUGCAGCCUUUCUACUAUUCCCACUUCAUUAAUUACAAAAUGCAUUUUCCAACUCAUUUUUAAAAUAGCCAGCACUGUUCUAAAGGGACACCAUUGUCCUGAAAAUCACUUUUCCUUCUGAAAAUACUGUGCCUGUUGUUAAAAUUGGUAUUGCUGACACAGAUUAAAGAUAAAAUAUUUUCUGUUU
Gopherus flavomarginatus (Mexican gopher tortoise) is the source of this 1378-nucleotide long non-coding RNA. RefSeq lists it as uncharacterized. The transcript is spliced from 2 exons. Lineage: Eukaryota; Metazoa; Chordata; Testudines; Testudinidae. The record is from RefSeq and is a predicted model, not a curated record.